This 497-nucleotide ribosomal RNA is filed under the name uncultured bacterium. RNAcentral's name for it is "partial 16S ribosomal RNA". It matches the Rfam family "Bacterial small subunit ribosomal RNA", at positions 28 to 507 of the family's 1533-position model. The record is from RNAcentral.
GACGAACGCUGGCGGCGUGCCUAAUACAUGCGAGUUGAGCGCUGAAGGUUGGUACUUGUACCGACUGGAUGAGCAGCGAACGGGUGAGUAACGCGUGGGGAAUCUGCCUUUGAGCGGGGGACGACAUUUGGAAACGAAUGCUAAUACCGCAUAAAAACUUUAAACACAAGUUUUAAGUUUGAAAGAUGCAAUUGCAUCACUCAAAGAUGAUCCCGCGUUGUAUUAGCUAGUUGGUGAGGUAAAGGCUCACCAAGGCGAUGAUACAUAGCCGACCUGAGAGGGUGAUCGGCCACAUUGGGACUGAGACACGGCCCAAACUCCUACGGGAGGCAGCAGUAGGGAAUCUUCGGCAAUGGACGAAAGUCUGACCGAGCAACGCCGCGUGAGUGAAGAAGGGUUUCGGAUCGUAAAACUCUGUUGGUAGAGAAGAACGUUGGUGAGAGUGGAAAGCUCAUCAAGUGACGGUAACUACCCAGAAAGGGACGGCUAACUACGUG